GGCCCCGUGACACGAAUGGCUAGGUACUCUCUCGCACAGAGUUUUAUGCCGGUUCGAAUCCGGCCGAGGCCU
This 72-nucleotide transfer RNA is filed under the name Rubrobacter marinus. Its description in RNAcentral is "Rubrobacter sp. SCSIO 52915 tRNA-Ala". It matches the Rfam family "tRNA". From Rfam's summary of the family: Transfer RNA (tRNA) molecules are approximately 80 nucleotides in length. Their secondary structure includes four short double-helical elements and three loops (D, anti-codon, and T loops). Lineage: Bacteria; Bacillati; Actinomycetota; Rubrobacteria; Rubrobacterales; Rubrobacteraceae. The record is from RNAcentral.